UAUAGACUCUUUGUAAUCAUAAUUCCAAAAUAACAUAUAUAUUACAAGAAUACCCAUUACCACUUGUGUACACUUGGAGCAUUUCACCAAAUGAAUGAAUAAUUACAAUGUAUUAAGAAUAUUUUACACUUAGCCAAAUGAUUGUAUUCUUAAAUAACUUGCAUUUAUAUAAUACUAGAAGCAACGAGAUUUUUUUAAUAAAUAAAAUUAUUUUAUUUUUCUAAGAACAUAUAUAUACAUUGGUUAAAACUUUUAAGUCAUACAAUUGUGGGGUCUCUAUAUACAUUUUGCUGCUCACAAUCUAGUUGUUGAAGGAUCUGCUUGCUUAAAGCUUUCAAAUACUAAUUCUCAUUUGCUUGGGUCAAUGCCUGUAAAAUAUGGGAAACAAUCUAAUGUUAAUUGUCCAUAAAGAACUUCAAAGAAUCACAUGCACCACCAAACCACAUUGUUCUUUCAGUAAACCAAAAACAUGUCCACUGAAUUCAGGAUCAAAGUUGAUCUUUUAAUGGAUCAAUAAUAAUUAACCACCAAAAAAAAUUUAAUUAAUGAUAUUACCAUAUGGUAUUUGUUUACCUAAUGAUCUCUUGUCUACAAGGUGAUGCAGUGGCACCAAAAUGUUUUACAGCCUAAAAAGAAAGGGAAGGGAUUUGAGGUGUAUCCUGGCCUUGGAUGCUGAAAAUUUAAUCGGAGAUGGUUUCCAUAAGCAUAUCUAAUAAAAAUUUGACAAAAAGAAUGGGAUGCCAAUAGUCAAAAUAAACAUACAUCUAAGCACAACUGCUGCAGCAGCAUCCAAAAUGGUGCCUCCCCAGAGAAAGAGACGAUCUAUCACCAUUUUUGCUUUUAUGCCUGCUAAAAUUGAUCCAUAGAAAUAGACAUUUGCUUUGCUGAAAUUGAUCCAGAGAACUGUAACUUACCUGCUGAAAUUGAUCCAUAUAAAUAGGAUUGUCAUUAAGAUAAG
RNAcentral lists this unclassified non-coding RNA (958 nucleotides) under Hevea brasiliensis (rubber tree). The record is from RNAcentral. Lineage: Eukaryota; Viridiplantae; Streptophyta; Magnoliopsida; Malpighiales; Euphorbiaceae.